UACGUAGGGGGCAAGCGUUGUCCGGAUUUAUUGGGCGUAAAGAGCUCGUAGGCGGUUUGGUAAGUCAGGUGUGAAAUCUCCACGCUCAACGUGGAGGGGCCACCUGAUACUGCCAUGACUGGAGUCCGGUAGAGGAGUGUGGAAUUCCACGUGUAGCAGUGAAAUGCGCAGAUAUCAGGAGGAACACCAGCGGCGAAGGCGGCGCUCUGGGCCGGUACUGACGCUGAGGAGCGAAAGCGUGGGUAGCAAACAGG
This 254-nucleotide ribosomal RNA is filed under the name uncultured bacterium. RNAcentral's name for it is "partial 16S ribosomal RNA". It matches the Rfam family "Bacterial small subunit ribosomal RNA", at positions 524 to 776 of the family's 1533-position model. The record is from RNAcentral.